Molecule: ribosomal RNA, 587 nt
Filed under: Brevibacterium antiquum
Lineage: Bacteria; Bacillati; Actinomycetota; Actinomycetes; Micrococcales; Brevibacteriaceae
Description: bacterial SSU rRNA
Source: RNAcentral
GGCGAACGGGUGAGUAACACGUGAGUAACCUGCCCCCGACUUCGGGAUAAGCCCGGGAAACUGGGUCUAAUACCGGAUAUGACCACCGAWSGCAUGWUUGGUGGUGGAAAGUUUUUUCGGUUGGGGAUGGGCUCGCGGCCUAUCAGUUUGUUGGUGAGGUAAUGGCUCACCAAGACGACGACGGGUAGCCGGCCUGAGAGGGCGACCGGCCACACUGGGACUGAGACACGGCCCAGACUCCUACGGGAGGCAGCAGUGGGGAAUAUUGCACAAUGGGGGAAACCCUGAUGCAGCGACGCAGCGUGCGGGAUGACGGCCUUCGGGUUGUAAACCGCUUUCAGCAGGGAAGAAGCCCCUUGGGGUGACGGUACCUGCAGAAGAAGUACCGGCUAACUACGUGCCAGCAGCCGCGGUAAUASGURGGGUACAAGCGUUGUCCGGAAUUAUUGGGCGUAAAGAGCUCGUAGGUGGUUGGUCACGUCUGCUGUGGAAACGCAACGCUUAACGUUGCGCGUGCAGUGGGUACGGGCUGACUAGAGUGCAGUAGGGGAGUCUGGAAUUCCUGGUGUAGCGGUGAAAUGCGCAGA